AAUAUUGCACAAUGGGCGAAAGCCUGAUGCAGCAACGCCGCGUGAGCGAUGAAGGCCUUCGGGUUGAAAAGCUCUGUCUUCGCUAACGAUAACGACGGUAAGCGAGCAGGAAGCAACGGCUAACUAAGUGCUAGCAGCCGCGGAAAUACGUAGGUGGCAAGCGUUGUCCGGAAUUACUGGGCGUAAAGGAUGAGUAGGAGGUCUUUCAAGUGGGAUGUGAAAGCCAUGGGCUCAACCCAGGAACUGAAUUCCAAACUGGAAGACUAGAGUGCGGGAGAGGAAAUUGGUAUUCCAAGUGUAGCGGUGAAAUGCGAAGAGAUUGGGAGGAAAACCAGUAGCGAAGGCGAAUUUCUGGAACGUAACUGACGCUGAGGCAUGAAAGCGUGGGGAGCAAACAGG
Molecule: ribosomal RNA, 399 nt
Filed under: uncultured bacterium
Lineage: Bacteria
Description: partial 16S ribosomal RNA
Rfam family: Bacterial small subunit ribosomal RNA
Source: RNAcentral